UAUAAGUGACGUGAGAGGCAGCGGAAGUCAUUUGAACCUGUGGAGAAGUGGAGGCUGGAGGUGCUGUUUAUACUGGUUCACCUCAGAUGUGACCUUCAGGGACACCGUAGCGAAUCUAAUCAGUUGUGUCAAGAUGGAUGAUGGGAUUAAAUCCUCAAGGGCAAGAGACAGAAAUGCAUCAACUCCACUGAACCUGGGGACAGGGUGAAUGUCUCUGUGGUGCCGCUGUCGAUGUUCAUUUGGUUAAAUCACUAUGAUCGUUGACCGUGGCGAUGAUCAACGCUCAUCAAGCCAGUGCGGGCUGUGAAUGGCAUCUGAAGGUCUGGUUCUGAUGGAGCCGGGUCCAUCGUCUGAGUCCACACAAGUCCAUGACACAGGGUGAAAGUCUCUGCUUUCAUAAUUCCUGUCCAGUCAAAGGAGCAUCAACAAUAGUGGUUAUUGACAGGUCGGCCACAAAUGAGGAGCUGCAGUGAAUCGGUUUCUCCUCCCUUCCACUUCAGAAUGAAGAUAUUUUAUAACACUUUUUUUUUUACUUAAAAAAAAAAAAAUAAAGAUCCCAUUGUUUAAAGUCGA
Molecule: long non-coding RNA, 573 nt
Organism: Monopterus albus (swamp eel)
Lineage: Eukaryota; Metazoa; Chordata; Actinopteri; Synbranchiformes; Synbranchidae
Exons: 6
Source: RefSeq, a predicted model, not a curated record